AAAUUAUUGUGGAAUAGAGUCCACAUGUUGCCGCCAUAUUUAUACCAACGAUUUUCUUCUGUACGUGAUCCAAAAAGCUUGAGUAUUCGUGUUUUUUUAUUUUUUGUUACGCCUUUUAAGGAAUUUGUUUUUUUCUUAUCAGCGGAUUCUUUACUACAGUAAAUAAAGACGCAAUUAAUAAAAUUAUUGUAGUUAGUACAACAAAAUUACAGCACGCUCCAGCGGGUUCCUUUACAUAGUGCGAACAAAAUUGAAGCGGUAUUUGGUCGUCUAUAAUUUGUCUUUAAAAGGUCGGCGUAAAUUUUAAUUACAUUCCUGUGACAGUGAAAAGUGUAAAAUGCUCGGAUAUUUAUAAGCCAACUAAACAUUUUACAAGACGUUGGAAUGGAGGAGUCGUUCUAGUGACAUAUGUUUAAUCAUUUCGUAACAACAACCAAAGAUAUGCUGAUUAUUAAGUGAACUACUCAGGAAUUAUAUGGUAUUAAUAAGAGGACUAACAUCAAAGGAAAUUCGCUGAUAUAGUUGAUGUACAUACAUCUAAUGAUGUGAAGUGCGGAAGAAAUAGUAGCAAUAAAACCAAUUUGUGGUGACUAGGAAACUCACCAUACCUUACAAAGAUAUCACACCACGCAAGGGUUUUCCAAAAACAACUACUGAUUAAAGAGCAAGAAAAAUUCAAACGGCUAUAGUCACAUACUUCUCGCCAGGAUGUCUCAGUCAAAUAUAUUGUGUGAUGUGGAACCAGCGGAUUCAAUGGAAGAAGCAAUCGAAAGUGAUCACUUUGCAAAUAUUAAUAUAGCAACGGUCGGUGUUGGAUAUCCACAAUUUGGAAUUCUAGUCAGAGGUGAUCCAUACGAAGAUGAGGGUGAUACGAAAAGAAAACAUCGCCAGGAAAUUUUGCUGCAAAAUAUCGAGGAUGUUUUCAAAAGAGAAAAUAUAGUCAUUCAUUCUGAUUCCCACCUGCCCAAUCCUAAGGAAAUUUCGGAUGAAAAUGAUGAUUUAUCUACGUACACCACUAGAAACGUAUUUGCAGAUUCAACAGUGCCAUUAACCUCAACGCCCGGCUCGUUAACUAUGGUUUCUACAAGAAAACGAAGGCACACAGUUAAGCAAGUUAACUCUGCAAUGAAUUCCAACAUUAUAAAUCAAAAUGUGGUGGGUCAUAUGGGCAAUGUGAAUACUGAUGCUCAACACUUCCCGGGGGCUUUCAGUAAUAACCAAGUACCAUUUACCCAGCAACGAAAUCAUCGUCAAAAAUAUAUAAAUAGAACUGAACUGUCACAAAUACAGACCGCCGGCGGCAUAAGUACUAGUGCCAGUAAUACAAUUUGCUAUAAACCUGUUGAAAUGAUGGAGGAACCUGUUAAACCGCGACGUUGGGAACAAAAGCAGGUACAAAUAAAAACGAUGGAAGGUGAAUUUAGUGUCACUAUGUGGGCCUCGGGCAAUUCCGACGAUGAGGCUUCGAAUCAAGAGCAGGAGACGGACUACCAGGAUUUUAUAACUUGUGAGGAACGAGAAAUCGAAAACGAAUGUAGUGUUACUGAUUCUGUGCAGGGAUUUGUGCCUUCCAUCGACAGUAAUGGUUUUCAGGACCAACAAGAACAAUUGAUGCAACGACAUAUAAUUUUACAGCAACAGCAGGAACUACAAUCCCAACAUGUUUUAGUUGAAAAUUCUGUGGAUGCGGGAGACUCGUCCAGAACUACCACAGAGGCUGGAUGCUCUACAAUUAUGCCCACAAUAAUAGGUUUAGAUCCAACGGAACAUCAACCGUUGUCCGAGUAUGCGGAUACCAGCAGUAUAGACAAUAAAUUAAAAAAGACUGUUUCACAUAGUAGAGCCGACAACACUCUUAUUACAACGGAUGAAGACGAUAAAGAUGUGGUUUUACCAGUUUCACGCACUACUGUAAUGACCACGCCGCUUAUUCAUCCUGCUAAUACUGCUGUGAUCACGAUGACCAGUAUAGAUGACGGUAGCCUAUCAACCACAGCCUUACCCGUAGGGGUUGUUUUACAAUCAAAUUCUCAUACUAUGUCUUCUUCACCACCACCAUUGAGUUAUAGUAACAAAAUAAAUACUGCUGCCGCUUCAGAAACGAAUUGCAACGGCCCUGGCGAAAAACGCAUUGCAUGUCCACAAAAAGGAUGUUAUAAAUUUUUUCGUGACAACUCUGCAAUGCGUAAACACCUUCAUACCCACGGACCACGGGUCCAUGUCUGUGCUGAAUGCGGUAAAGCGUUUGUCGAAAGCUCCAAGUUAAAGCGCCAUCAGCUUGUGCACACCGGGGAGAAACCAUUUCAGUGCACUUUUGAAGGUUGUGGUAAACGAUUCUCAUUGGAUUUUAAUUUAAGAACUCAUGUAAGGAUUCACACCGGUGAUCGGCCGUAUGUUUGUCCAUUUGACGGUUGCAACAAAAAGUUCGCCCAGUCCACAAACUUGAAAUCACAUAUAUUAACACACGCAAAAACCAAGCGAAAUUCGCUAGGUGGGAGCCGCAGUAAUAUCAAUAACGAUUCUAAUAGCCCGAUACAGAUAACUCCACAAAACCUUAUAAAAGUCGAAUUGAAUGAAAUGGACUCCAACUCUUCUUAUGUUGUGUACACGGAUUAAAAUAUGGUUUCGUCAUCAUGAAGUAAUUUAUUUAUUCGGAUGUUAAGAACACUUAUCUUUCGAUAUAAUGGGCAUAGAUGAAGGGUUUCCUUCCAUGUUUUAUCUUUAACAAGGAUAAAAAUUCGAUUGAAUGAUUUCAAUGAAUUACAUUUACCCUACAUUUAGUUUCCAGUUUCUAUAUAACAAUUUCAAUAAAUGCACUUAACGUAAAUAUGCAUAGACAGAUAUGCAUUGCUGUCGCGAAACUUUUUGGACCAGUCGUAACUAUAUUGAAGUGAUACUAAUGAUAACACGGUAUGAAUGAUGUAAAAAUCCGUGACAUUGUCUAUGGGUCCCAUUUUUUGUAAAUUUUAACAUGGCACAAAUAAAAAAUUUACUGAGAAUGUUUGUAGAUCGCAAAAGUCCUAGAGAUUUAAGCAUCGCUCGUAUGCCAUAAAAAAUGUAAAUUUGAUUUAACAUUUUUUAUUUUAAAUUUUUUCAUACUAAUGAUAGUAAGGCGAAGAAGACAAACGCCAUGUUUCCAUAUUCUAUCUGACGAGUCCAUAUUUUUAUAACUACUUAUUUAUAAAUAUAAUAUUGAAAGCAGGAAAUGGCUCCAUAAUAUAAUCUUUCUGCUUUUGUUGCUAUUCCUUUAUUACAUCUUCAAGUUAGUAUUGCAUGUAAACUAGGGCUGGGACUAUUCGUAUAUACUGAUAUUCCGGUUAAUAUCCGCUCACUGGGUUAUCCAGAUAUUCUAAAAUGUUUUUAAACGGAUUGCUUAAAUUGUUCUCAAAACGAAUAAAACAACAUUUCAUUAAUACAUAAACAAUUUUUAUUUUUAGAUUCGAACAUCCGGCUAUUCGGUUGGUAUCGGUUCAUUUUGUUAUCCGGAUAGUAUCCGCAUUAUUUAAUCCGAUUAUCUGAAUUAACCGGAUAUCAAAAAGUCCGGAUAGAAGUCCCAGCCAUAGUAUAAAUAAAUUCAAUUAAAGUUCUUAGCACUUUGUUUAAAAAUAGUACAAAAAAUGCGUGACUAAUUUUCAUAAAUAUGUGUCCAACGGGAUAUAGAAGAAUGGCAAGACCAAUCAUCACACAAUUGAAAUAUAUACAUAUAUAUAUAUUUUUUAUAAAAGAUUAGGUGGAGCAAUAGUUUUAACAUAUUAGGCUAGGACAAACGCUAAAUGAUGACGUACACUUUUUUAUUCUAUACCGUCGUGAACCAGCAUCUCAUGUUGCAGUAAAAAUAAGAAUAUCUUAGUAGUAGAGUGAUUGGCUCGGUUUUUUGCAAUAUUUUGGAGAGCUUUUAUCUGAUUUUUUUUUUUUUCAAAUCUUGAAUAAACCGCAGUUUUGUUACCGUAUAAACCGGGUUUUUCAUCUAGAAUAUUUAUACAACUGCACCUUCACUGUAAAUUCAAUACAUUUUUUAUUUUGUUGAAACCGCAAAUAUAGCUUUUUUACCAAUCUUGCUCUUCAAUACAACCAACUUCCCUUCAAAGAUGCUUUUUUGAUAAACGUAUGUUUUGCAAAUUUGAGUAAAUCAAUGUGCUUUUAAAUCAGUGGUGCACAUGGGAGUCUCAUGGAGCCAAUCGGCUUUCACGUACAAGUCGUCUGCGCGAAGCUACCGAACUUCACUCGAGUUUAAAGCAUACACUUUAAAACACUUAAGCCAACAUGCAGCUAUGUAAGUGGAAAAUGAGAAGCUCUGUUUAUUGUUUAUUGUUUAUUGUUUAUUGAAAUGCAUCUAUUUAAAAUACCUGCAGAUUUACCAUACGAGUUUCUUAAUUUCGAUAUUAUUUUUUUGAAUAAAGUAUUAAAAACACAGA
Molecule: unclassified non-coding RNA, 4415 nt
Filed under: Rhagoletis pomonella (apple maggot)
Lineage: Eukaryota; Metazoa; Arthropoda; Insecta; Diptera; Tephritidae
Description: polycomb protein PHO, transcript variant X3
Source: RNAcentral